This 511-nucleotide ribosomal RNA is filed under the name uncultured bacterium. RNAcentral's name for it is "bacterial SSU rRNA". It matches the Rfam family "Bacterial small subunit ribosomal RNA", at positions 1000 to 1509 of the family's 1533-position model. The record is from RNAcentral.
CCAGAGAUGGAUUGGUGCCUUCGGGAACUUAGAUACAGGUGCUGCAUGGCUGUCGUCAGCUCGUGUCGUGAGAGUGUUGGGUUAAGUCCCGNAACGAGCGCAACCCUUUUCCUUAUUUGCCAGCGGGUCAUGCCGGGAACUUUAAGGAUACUGCCAGUGACAAACUGGAGGAAGGCGGGGACGACGUCAAGUCAUCAUGGCCCUUACGGCCAGGGCUACACACGUGCUACAAUGGUCGGUACAAAGGGUUGCUACCUCGCGAGAGGAUGCUAAUCUCAAAAAGCCGAUCGUAGUCCGGAUCGCAGUCUGCAACUCGACUGCGUGAAGUCGGAAUCGCUAGUAAUCGCGGAUCAGAAUGCCGCGGUGAAUACGUUCCCGGGCCUUGUACACACCGCCCGUCACACCAUGGGAGUUUGUUGCACCAGAAGUAGGUAGUCUAACCGCAAGGAGGACGCUUACCACGGUGUGGCCGAUGACUGGGGUGAAGUCGUAACAAGGUAGGCGUAGAUGA